GGCGUACGGCUCCUUAACACGUAGUCAACCUGCCCUGGAGACAUGGAUAACCCCGGGAAACUGGGAUUAAUACAUGAUAGGUCAUCUCAUCUGGAAGGAGAGAUGGCUUAAAGGGGUGUGUGAGCUUCUUUCAUACACUUGCUCCAGGAUGGGAUUGCGACUGAUCAGGCUGUUGGCGGGGUAAUGGCCCACCAAACCAGUAACCAGUACGGGCCUUGAGAGAGGGGGCCCGGAGAUGGACACUGAGAGAAGGGUCCAGGUCCUACGGGGCGCAGCAGGCGCGAAACCUUCGCAAUGCGCGAAAGCGUGACGAGGUUAAUCCGAGUGGUUCCCGCUGAGGGAAUCUUUUGUCGGCUGUAAAAAGGCCGGCGAAUAAGGGGAGGGCAAGUCUGGUGUCAGCCGCCGCGGUAAUACCAGCUCCUCGAGUGGUCGGGGCGAUUAUUGGGCCUAAAGCAUCCGUAGCCGGUUCUGUAGGUCCUCUGUUAAAUCCAACGGCUUAACCGUUGGCCCGCAGAGGAUACCGCAGGACUAGGAGGCGGGAGAGGCAGACGGUACUCUACGUGUAGGGGUAAAAUCCUUUGAUCCGUAGAAGA
This 593-nucleotide ribosomal RNA is filed under the name uncultured archaeon. Its description in RNAcentral is "bacterial SSU rRNA". It matches the Rfam family "Archaeal small subunit ribosomal RNA", at positions 80 to 656 of the family's 1478-position model. The record is from RNAcentral.